GAUGAAGAACGCAGCGAAAUGCGAUAAGUAAUGUGAAUUGCAGAAUUCAGUGAAUCAUCGAAUCUUUGAACGCACAUUGCGCCCCUUGGUAUUCCGAGGGGCAUGCCUGUUCGAGCGUCAUUAUAACCCCUCAAGCUCAGCUUGGUGUUGGGGCCUGCUGCACUGGCAGCCCUUAAAAUCAGUGGCGGCGCCAUCUGGCUCUAAGCGUAGUAAUUCUUCUCGCUAUGGAGUCCUGGUGGAUGCUUGCCAUCAACCCCCAAUUUUUCUAUGGUUGACCUCGGAUCAGGUAGGGAUACCCGCUGAACUUAAGCAUGUCAAUAAGCGGAGGA
RNAcentral lists this unclassified non-coding RNA (329 nucleotides) under soil metagenome. RNAcentral describes it as "partial contains 5.8S ribosomal RNA, internal transcribed spacer 2, and large subunit ribosomal RNA". The stretch from base 1 to 120 matches the Rfam family "5.8S ribosomal RNA", at positions 35 to 154 of the family's 154-position model. The record is from RNAcentral.